This 1377-nucleotide ribosomal RNA is filed under the name Triticum aestivum (bread wheat). RNAcentral's name for it is "partial small subunit ribosomal RNA". Lineage: Eukaryota; Viridiplantae; Streptophyta; Magnoliopsida; Poales; Poaceae. The record is from RNAcentral.
AUGGGGAUUGGGGAUGCAUCACCUAGUGAAAACCAGUCUGCACACAAGGAAAAGAGGGAUGAGACCACGCCACUUCUCCCGGUCAAGGCGGAAGAGGAAGAUGGGAUCCAUGAGUUCAAUGGAGCCUCUUUCUCGGGUGCAGUUUUCAAUCUGUCGACAACCAUCGUGGGGGCUGGAAUUAUGGCCCUGCCAGCAAGUAUCAAGAUGCUAGGCAUUAUCCCGGGUAUUUUGAUGAUCAUCCUUGUGGCAUUGCUCACUGAGGCAUCAAUUGACAUGAUGGUCAGGUGCAGCCACCAGGCCAAGAUUACAUCCUAUGGCUGGCUGAUGGGUGACUCUUUUGGUCAAUGGGGGAGGAUUGCGCUGCAAGCAUCUGUGGUCAUAAACAACAUUGGCGUCAUGAUUGUAUACAUGAUUAUCAUCGGUGAUGUGCUAUCGGGAACAUCUACAACUGGUGUUCAUCACCGGGGUAUCUUUGAGGGGUGGUUUGGUCCUCAUUUUUGGAAUUCUCGUCCAGUUGUUCUCCUUGCCACAACUAUUUUUGUGUUUGCCCCAUUGGUGAGCUUUAAGCGAUUGGAUUCAUUGAGAUACACAUCUGCUCUGUCAGUUGCCCUUGCUGUGGUUUUUGUUGUCAUCACUGCUGGAAUUGCUAUUCUCAGACUGAUAGAAGGGACCGCGGAGAUUCCCAAACUCUUCCCUGAGAUACAUGAAAUCAAUUCCAUCUGGGAACUCUUUACAGCUGUGCCGGUUCUUGUCACUGCCUACAUUUGCCACUACAAUGUUCACAGCAUCGAUAAUGAGCUGGAAGAUAGAAGUCAGACUAAGCCAAUUGUGCGAACUUCACUCGCUCUCUGUUCAAGUGUUUAUGUUGCGACAAGCUUCUUUGCAUAUCUCCUCUUUGGCGAGGGUACCCUCUCUGAUGUGCUCGCCAAUUUUGACUCCGACCUUCAUAUUCCAUUCAGCUCUGUCUUCAAUGAUAUAGUCAGAGUGAGCUAUGUAGUCCAUGUCAUGCUCGUUUUCCCUAUAGUCUUCUUUGCCCUUAGGCUCAACCUGGAUGGACUCCUCUUCCCCACCUCAAGGCACAUUUCUCAUGACAACCGAAGGUUUACCAUUAUCACCGUCUCACUCCUUGUUGUGAUUUAUCUUGCUGCCAACUUCAUACCAAGCAUCUGGGAUGCGUUCCAGUUCACUGGUGCUACAGCUGCUGUCCUGAUUGGUUUCAUCUUUCCUGCCAUGAUCAUACUCAGGGAUUCUUAUGGGAUCGCAACCAAGCGCGACAAGGUUUUAGCUGUAACCAUGAUUGUGCUUGCUGUGCUCUCCAAUUCAGUGGCCCUGUACAGCGAUGCGAUGAGCAUCUUCUACAGGAAGGUGGAGGCCUAG